GUCGGCCGCGAGCUCCUGGUGCGGAGACGCUGCAGCAGGGGACGCGGCCCGGAGCAGGUCCACCACUCUACGCCGCGGACUGCUGCCCCAUGGUCAUCAGCUCCAGGACCACGGCGACAAGUCGCCAACGGAGCUCUCAUUCCGAGCGAUGGGCUUCGUGGCGGAGCAGCAUUUCAAGGUCUUCUCAGCAGAUUCUCCAUUGUGUCGUUGAGCUAUUGGGUUUUUCAACAUCCGCCUUGAAAUUUCCUCCCCACUGACCUCAGAAAUUCAAUCAUGGAGUCCUACACGAGGUGCAGGCCUGCCCUUCUGCUACCCACGGGACUGUAUAAUUAUAAUAAAUCCAGGGUGACCUGCCACUGUUCAAGAAGUAUGUGUAACCACAUGUUGACAUCUGUAAUUUUUUUUUGCAAGCAGUUAGUCCUGUGAUGCUUGGCUCUGCGAUGCUGCACCCCCACAUGCAACCAAAUUAGCUGUAUCCGCUCAACCUGAAUUACAUGUUGACAUUUGGCUAACGGUCACCCUGGAUUUAUUAUAAUUAUACAGUCCCGACAGGUGAUGCUUGUGGUUCGUCGCACAGUCGUUUUGUUUAUGCUAUAAUUAUUGCCAUUAACCAGGGAGACUGGAGGUUACUGAGAUCUUCAACUUUUCCCAAGAUGAUUUGUUAACUGAAGACAUGAUGAUACUUGACACACAUGGUGAAGUUUUCAUUUGGAUUGGAUGGGCAUUUAAGAGUUUUCAACUAGCCUACCAUGGGGUCUGUUCUCACAGAAAUCGAUACUAAAACAUCGAUUAAGGAUCUUACUAUCAGUUCCGACGAGAAGUUUCUUGCUGUGAAUAGGAGCAAUGGCCCAUGUAUCGAUUGGAUUACUGCAGAUGCUUUGGCUGAUGGGAAACAAAGCACUGGAGAGCCUGAGACUUGCUUUGUUUCCUAACACUUAAUCCUUCUUUGGUUUCUUAUUGAAUUGUUGGGAACGGUUAACAGAUGGAUCUGUAAUUUUUUUGGAAAUUGAUUCUACAGUAGCAAGUAUGUGCAUAUAAAUGUGAUCACGCAAGUAAUUUCUAUAAGACUUUGGGAUACAUACUUAUUGCGAAGCCUAAAUUUAUGCUACAAAAGGAUAGGUUGAAUCUCAUAGAGACAACACCCUCUUCUGAGGUUGAUUAUGAUUCAAGAUCCAAUGACCUCAAAACCUCUACGAGUAUCUCAGAGAUGCUGAAAGCCAACUUACUAUUGAGAGUACUAUGAAACCUCCUGCGCAGUGUGAAAUAAAUGACAGAAAUGAAGUGUGUGUUGGUGCUGGUGCUGGAGACAGCAACAUAACUGGUGGUAUUAUCCAAUUGUAUUGGAGUUCUAUUCUUGAAAGGUGCUUGGAUACAAACGAUCAAAGCUUGAAGGAGGCUUGAGUCAAUUGAAUCAUCUGUGGUGUGAGCCGACCAGGGGCGGCUGAGGAGCGGGAAGCAGACGAUCAGGCACUGGCUGCAUCGGCGCCGUCCAGAGUCUCCGCUUCUUCCCUGACAGUAGGUUCCGGAACGCGGCUGAGGCUACUGACUUCGUGCACAUACACUUCGUACCAUGGGAGGUGCACAUACCUGGUGACUGAAUGUAUUACUAUGGCGCAUCACAGUGAUGUCAUCUGCUCCUUAAAUUUUAAGAGGACAUCUGGUCCUUAGAUUGUAAAAUCUCAUGGCGUAUGUUUAGAGGUAUUCAGCUAGGGUGGUUCAAGGAGACCUGCCUUUACAUGUAAAAGUACAAAAGGUCGAUACUUCAUUCUUUACCUGCACAACUUUAGAUACGAUGUCAGCUCUUUUACCAUGUUACUGGUAACCCACAACUGUCAUUAGCUCCCUCCCUCUUCUGAUCUGAAUUAAUUUAGACACUUGCUAGCAGAAUUGGACCAAUUAACAUUAUUGCCACUUGUUUUGUUCGUGGGGCUUUUCGUGUUCCUGUGCACCAAUGUAGUUGUCCUGGGUGACGUGCACGCCAUUGGAGAUGGACCUUACAUCCCAUCUUCCCAUCCAUUUGUUUUAAGAGCUGCUGGUGGUAGAGCUAAUGGUGAUGGAUCCAAGAAGAUAGAGAACAUGUGAUCGACCUAAGGUAGUUUCAGCUCCAGAGAAGAAGGUCCAUUACUCAUGCAAAUGCUAAGAGCAAGAGUGAAAAGUUCCCUACCCUCACAUCAAGGUGGUACGGUUGGUGUCUCCUUGGAUGCUUCAGUACCCUUUUCCUCUGUACCUUUUUGAUGCUCCUGGUGUGGUAUAUAUGGAAUCAAACAUUUCCGAAGGCGAAGAAUGAUGGGUUCAAAGUGACAAAUGUGAAUGCUAGCAACAUCAAAUGUGUGCUCUAUUUAAUGGAAGAAGGAAUGAUGGAGGACAAGCUGAAUAUACUUGCCCCAAUUGCUACGUCGAGGAGAUCAAAUGUGGGCUGCGCAAACCUUUACCACAGUGUGCUCUUCUUGGAGAAAAGUUUUACGAAUACCUGUUCUUAGUGAUCAUAUAGAUGAUCGAUACCAUGUAGCUACUGCAGGAUAAACAAGAUCAUGCUUCAAAUGUCUAUCUAUUUGUUCGCAUGUUAAUUCAAGAUGGAUUUGAGAU
Molecule: long non-coding RNA, 2586 nt
Organism: Zea mays
Lineage: Eukaryota; Viridiplantae; Streptophyta; Magnoliopsida; Poales; Poaceae
Exons: 13
Source: RefSeq, a predicted model, not a curated record